UCAAGGACUAACCCCCUAUUCGUUCUUUUUGUUUUUUUGAUAUCAAAAUUCUCUCCUUCUCUCUAACGACAGCGACCACCACUACCACCCCCUCCGACAUCACCUCCGCCAUUACUAAUAGAUUCAGGAACACCUCCACUAAUCCCACCACUAGUUCUAGCACAAUCUUCAGUACUUCCAUCAAGUCCACCAACACAUGUACUAAAUUCUCCAAUCGAAUCUAAAGCUCAGAUCCAUUUUCGAUAUCAAUUGGAUUUGUCUUGAAGGAUGUUCGAUGAUAACAGUUAGUUCUUAAGGAUUUGUCCGCAUCGAUUUAGGAAGAGAAGAUAAAAAUCGUCAUCAAUUUAGGAAGACAAGAUGAAAAUCGUCAUCAGUUGUUGGAUCUGAAAUUUCACUUGUCCAUGACCCUAAUUUCAGAUUUUCUUCUUCUUCAGAUCCAUAAUUAAUUCAGUGGUGGAUCAGUCAUGGUGGUGGUGGAACAAUGGAGUUGGAGGUGGUGGUGGUGGAAUGGUAUUAACAUUGCAGUAAUAUGCAAGCAUACAAGUGCAUUAACACUUUUGGUGCCACGUCUUUUUUAAGGUAAUUUGAAAUAUUAAAUCAGUGUUGUUUUUACGUUUAUCUUUUUUGUGUUGAUGGUUCAAAGACCCUUCACGAUGAAUCUGUAAUUUCGGAAGGGAGUCAGUCUGCAAACUAUUCUAGCUAGACUCUGUUUUAACUUUUAAGUGAAUGAAAUGCUUAAAUUAUGUAAAUUUUGAUACUCAAGGAAGGUUUGGAUUAAUUAGUUACAGCUAGGUUGAGAAA
This is a long non-coding RNA of Papaver somniferum (opium poppy), 801 nucleotides long. RefSeq lists it as uncharacterized. The record is from RefSeq and is a predicted model, not a curated record. The transcript has 2 exons. NCBI's taxonomy places the organism in Eukaryota, Viridiplantae, Streptophyta, Magnoliopsida, Ranunculales, Papaveraceae.